GUCUGUAAGGUGCUACUGGAAGGAUUUUUUUUAUUUUGUUUUGAGGUCUGUUACAGGGAUUGCAGAGGUGGUGGGCGAGUAGGGAGGGGAGAUUAUGUACCUAGUCGUAGUGUAGGCUGAGCCUAGUCCAUGCCAGGGAAUCGUUGGCCCGCGUCCUCAGAUCCAGAGAGAGAGCAAAAGAAAGCACCAGGAAAGAUCCUUCUUUGGAGGAAAACAGUUUAUUCUCUGUGCACAGUGACAGCCAGCAGAAUAACUUCUGGAAGACUGGCUGCCCAGAAAUACGCCUCUGCAGACUUUCUUAUACCUUGAGAAAGCUCCCUCCCUCCUCCCCCAAACGCCCUCCAAAAACUUCCCCAAUCAACUGGAAAGUUUUUAACUUAUUUUUUAUAUGGCAUGGCAUAUCUAUAAUGCUAGCCCUCUAUGCAGCCCCCUCCCUAUUUUCCCUAUACGUGUCUUUCUAAGCGUCCUGCAUCCCCUCCUCCCGUCUCCCUCGUAUGUGUCUUUCUUAUCUUACAUUCCUAAAGUAAGAAAGCGAGGGGCCUCUGGUUAUUUCUAGCUUACAGUCUCCUUCAUAUGUGUCUUUCUUAUCUUGCAUUCCUAAAAUAAGAAAGCGAGGGGCCUCUUUUGCAGAAGUCAAAUUAGCUCAGAAAUUUACUUAGAUCCAAAGUACAGAGAAUAUAGAAGAUCCUUCUUAGGUACAAGGUACAAGGUAUAGAAAGCAUAUAGAAAGCAACCCUUCCCUCUCCCUUCACUCCCUCCUCUUCUUAUGAACAACCUAAUACUUAGGUUCGUUCUGGGGUAGGGGUCUAUAAUCUCUCAUGAAAGCAAGCACACGAGGUCCCAUCAUGCGAGACAUCAUCUUCUCCAUCAUACUUUGCAUACAUUGCAUCAAGCAGGGCAUACAGAAGCAGAAAAGCAAUAAAAGCAUUAUUGGACCUAUCACCAUAGUAAAUAUCCUCCCCAUCCAUCCACCUGGGAAGAUGCCGUCCAACCAAGACAUAUCCCAGCCCUCCCAGGUUUGUACAGGGACAUGUGCUACCUUUUCAAUGCUUGCUGCCAGAUCACGGAUAGCCUCGCCAUGGUCUGAAAUGUUGAAGCAACAUGCUCCACCUGUCAGGUUCAGGGCAGCACAAAAACCUCCUUGCUUAGCUAAAAUGAAGUCCAUUCCCAAACGCAAUUGGAGAAUAGCCGUUCGGGUUUCAUCUAGCUGGGUGGCAACAAGACGGAGGGCGGUGGCUGUAGCAUUGGCCACAACUUCCACCACUGCCUGGAGCCUGAUGAUUCGAUUGAGAUUGUAAAUGGGCUCUCUGGCACCUGCCACUAACUCAUCAGGGUUCCAGGAGGCAGGAUCAUAGUGGGCAAUUAUCCGCUCAGGUGGCCAUUCGUCCUUUCCCCAGGUUUGUUUACUACCCCCCGCGAUGUUGGAGAUAUCAGCAAAGCGGCGGUUACGAUGGGAUGGGGAAGAGGGUAUCCACAUUGGAGGUACAAGAAACGCUGGAAAGCAGACACCAUAUCCGUUCUGUGGAUAGAGGUGAUAAGCUUUUGUUCCACAAAUCCAAUAAAUAUUACUGCCGCGCUGAGAAGAGGUCCAGCUGGCUCGAGAACCUUCCACCAUGAGUGCAAGGUUGGUACAAGCCCCGCCACAUUCAGAGAUGUCCAAAGGACUACCACAUGUACAUUUACAUGAUGACCGUCCUAUAAACCUCGUAUAGUUGUAGACGGUAUUUCGGGUUUGAUUAAUACAGAACCAUCCAGAGACCCUAUAAACUCGUAAAGGAGCUGAAUGGUUCCAAUAAGGAGUUGGGCGGGAUGGACUAUGUGUAUAUUGGAUCUGAGAACGAUUGAGGGGUAUGGGGAGCAUGGGCAUUCCUCCUCCUCCAUCUAAGGGUCCAAGGGUACAAACUAAACAAGCAGUUUUAUUUGCUUCAUGGGCUACUAUUUCUGCCAAUUGAAGCCACUUGUUAUAGAGACUCUGAGCCCCCUGUUUUCUCAUUUCCUGUGUGGGGAAAAUGCUAUUACGAUUUAAGACCUGGAAGCAUUCGGCCUUGGGAAUAGAUUCUCCCAUCAUAAAUAGGAGAAGGAUCAUCAAGGGGAUGGAGGGGGAUCGCUUCCUUCCAAAAAACCUAUGGCGCUCGUGCCAACAGAAAUACGAGAGCAUCCAUAUGACAAGGGCGAUACAUAUCACUCCUAUCCACCAAACCCAAUAUCUCCAUGGUUCCUCCCACCAAAAAUCAGGGUUCAUUUCUAGUUUUCUUUUACAGCUGAAGGGCCCACUGAUACUCGUAUUCAACUAUUUCCUGGGCCUCAGGGGUAACUUUCCACUUCUCUGCUGAGGCACCUACUAUACGGAGCAAUUUCCCUACAAUCCCUUGUGGGUGGACUGGGCUCUCGUGUUGUCUCUUCAAGAUAUUAUACCCAAAAGGGGCUCCUCCCUCUUCAUAUAUCAGCAUGCACCCACAGGAAUAUGUCCACCCCUGCAAUGGCCUGACACUUGGGGUGACUAUAUCAAGGGGUUCCGGACCCAAUACCAAAAGUCCGAUUGGUGCCUCUGAAUUUGCUGGAGAGCAAGUUUCUACGUUGGGGACGCUGCCCGCGGGCGCCCCUCCCAUCCAAUUCUUCAGCCGUGCGUAGAGAUAUCAGCCUCCGGAGUGAUAUCAGCAGGGCGGUUGUCUACCGGGCGUCUGGAGAUGGUCAGCCGAAGGGAAUUCUCUGGAUCUGGUGUUACUGUCCAGUCUGAAAUGGCUUUCUUCACUCGAGUAUGGUGGACCCACGGGGUGAUGCCGGCAACCUUCACAGCAGUAGGGGUAGAGAGUAGCACAGUGUAGGGUCCCCUCCAGCAGGGCUGUAGGGGGGCUCGCUGCCAGUCUUUCACCCACACUUCGUCACCUGGCUCGAACUGAUGGAACGGUUCAGUUAACACACAUGGGGUGCGAGCCUGGGUCCACCUGUUGAGGUAAGAGAAAACUUGGGAGAGUGACUGUACAUAGUUAUUCAAUU
This 2997-nucleotide long non-coding RNA is filed under the name Podarcis lilfordi (Lilford's wall lizard). The record is from RNAcentral. Lineage: Eukaryota; Metazoa; Chordata; Lepidosauria; Squamata; Lacertidae.